UACGUAGGUGGCGAGCGUUAUCCGGACUUACUGGGUGUAAAGGGCGUGUAGGCGGGACUGCAAGUCAGAUGUGAAACCCAUGGGCUCAACCCAUGGCCUGCAUUUGAAACUGUAGUUCUUGAGUGAUGGAGAGGCAGGCGGAAUUCCGUGUGUAGCGGUGAAAUGCGUAGAUAUACGGAGGAACACCAGUGGCGAAGGCGGCCUGCUGGACAUUAACUGACGCUGAGGCGCGAAAGCGUGGGGAGCAAACAGG
RNAcentral lists this ribosomal RNA (253 nucleotides) under uncultured bacterium. RNAcentral describes it as "partial 16S ribosomal RNA". It matches the Rfam family "Bacterial small subunit ribosomal RNA", at positions 524 to 776 of the family's 1533-position model. The record is from RNAcentral.